Molecule: transfer RNA, 61 nt
Filed under: unidentified
Description: Capodemus sinuatus tRNA-Asp
Source: RNAcentral
GAAAAAUUAGUUUAUUAAAACAUUAACUUGUCAAGUUAAAGAAAUUUUUUAAUAUUUUUCU